CCCCAUCCUCCUCCCCCCCCCCCUCGCUCACAAGGAGCCUCUCGCCUGUCACACCUGACCUGAUGUUUUCCCCCAGCGGCAGGUGAUCUACCAUCACCUGGUCCCCCUGGUCCAUCGUGCGCUCACUCACAGAGAGCGACCCCCAGUGGACUUUUUAGGAAUAGCAGCUACUUUUAUAUAAAUACAAUUUAUGUCUUUUUGUAAUUCUCACAAUAGUAAAUUCAUCCGGCAAGGCAAUUUUCUUUGUAUAUCACAUUUCAACAUCAAGGCAAUUGAAAGUGCUUCAUAUAAAACCAUCCAAACGUAACGAUGUAAAAACGUCAUGAACACUGAAACGUAAAAUGACGUGUGUGUGUGUGUAGAACCUCCGCCCUUUGCAGCCUGUUAAACACUCGUUCCUUUUGGCCUUUAGCAGUAAAUUGAGCAUUUUUAAAUUGUAAAGGCGUUGAAGCAGCUGUUAUUGGUGCGCCGUGUCCAGCCCGACAAAGCGGACAUUUGACGGUGAUGGAUUUUAUUUUGUUUCUGCCCAUCUAUUGUGGAGUUCACAAAGAAACUAUUAACAAACAAAGCCAGAAAUGCUGCCUAAAAUCAGAGUGAAUGAUUGGACACACUGGCCGCAGAUACAUUUUAUUCCAGUGUGAGAGACAAAAAAGGAAAAAAGGAUGUUUUUUUGAGGGGAAAUUUCCAUUUGAGUAGAGAGGAGAGGAGGAAGGAUUUGAGGAAAGGAAGAUUACCGGUACAAAGCAACCCUCUAUUACUAAAGACUACGUAAACCGGUUCAUCCCUGUAAUCAACAAACAAUGUACUUCCUGUUUUAGUGGCACGCGAAUAGUCCUGUAAGAUUCCUUUUCCGACGUGCUGGACGGAAGUCAUUUGUACAGCGCCUGCGUGGAUGUAGUCCAGCAGACCCUUUUAAAUGCACCUGAACAUCAUUGGUCCUAAGGGUUCCACACACGCAACAUCUGUACGUGGACGUAGUACCAGGGACUAGCGCUCCAGUUUGGGUAUUCAUCCAAUGCUCACAAUGUUCAAACUCAGUGUGUAUCCGCUCGUCCUACGUGUACCUUAAAAUCAGUGUCACCUCUGGACAAAAUCCUUAGGUUCAUUUAAAAAAUAAAUAUAUUCCUAUUUGCACUGCGCAUGGAAACUACUGGAAUUACAUAAUAUUAAGGUGUCUUAUUUUUAUAAUCUUUUCUUUUGGUGUAUUUUGCAUAAGAUGUGAAUAGACAGGCUACCUAGCAGGUGAGAGGACACGCGUCCUGCAGGCCGUCCUCUUGGUGAAGCACAGUCUUUAUUGUUCCAAUAAAAUCACACUUGUGAAUUAAGACAUGCUUUUGUACACGAUUAUGUAAAUAAGCAAAUGACUCCCACUUUGUCUUCAGUUACAUUAUUGCUCAUUUAGAUGUAAUUUGUACAUUCCUUGUGCGAUUGAAUCUUGGUGUUUAUUUAUUUCUUUUGAAGUUUUUGAACCUUUAAGGGGGUUUGAUUCGUGCCUGUGGUUGUUACUUGAUUCUGAUGUGAGUUUUUCAUCACAGGACUGAGCGUAUGACACAAACCCACAUGUUGCUGUAAAGGUUUAAUGUUGUUAGCAGUCCGUAGUCACUAAAUAAAUACAUAGAACUAUGAGUGUUGAUUUAAUUUAAGAAUCUCUGUUGUUGUAAAUGAGAUGUACAUGUCCAGAUGUAAUAAAUGAAGGUUUGCAGCUGUAAGGGCAGCUCAACAGCU
Molecule: long non-coding RNA, 1725 nt
Organism: Gasterosteus aculeatus aculeatus (three-spined stickleback)
Lineage: Eukaryota; Metazoa; Chordata; Actinopteri; Perciformes; Gasterosteidae
Source: Ensembl